UACGGAGGGUGCAAGCGUUGUUCGGAUUUAUUGGGCGUAAAGCGCGUGUAGGCGGUUUCUUAAGUCUGAUGUGAAAGCCCUGGGCUCAACCCAGGAAGUGCAUUGGAUACUGGAAAACUUGAAUACGGGAGAGGGUAGUGGAAUUCCUAGUGUAGGAGUGAAAUCCGUAGAUAUUAGGAGGAACACCGGUGGCGAAGGCGGCUACCUGGACCGAUAUUGACGCUGAGACGCGAAAGCGUGGGGAGCAAACAGG
This 253-nucleotide ribosomal RNA is filed under the name uncultured bacterium. RNAcentral's name for it is "partial 16S ribosomal RNA". It matches the Rfam family "Bacterial small subunit ribosomal RNA", at positions 524 to 776 of the family's 1533-position model. The record is from RNAcentral.